AUGCUAUUUAUUGUGUUAGACAUUUAAUUUGAUUAUAUUUAAUCAGUUAAUAUUUUGAGUGAAUAAUUGAAAUGAACGAAAUAAAACAUAGCAGGAAUUUUAGGGAUCAUUUCAAAGACCUUGAAAUUCAUUACACACACUGAUUUUCUUUUACUUAUCAGUCUUGUUACAUUCUGCAAUAACCAUGUGGAAACCUGAGUUUCUAAUUAUCCUUUCUGCCUCCUCCUGAUUCACAUCUUUUAUUCUCAUCAGAAAGUAUGUGAAGAACUAAGAAACACAGAGAAAACAAUCACUGACAACUCUUUGGUAGUGUGAGUGUCUAUCAGGUGCCAACUGGAAUGUUUCUUUUCAUUUGGGGGUUACUUUGUAGACUGUUAUUCUCUAUAGCUGCUAAAAUCCACCUGGAAACAUUUUUCCCAGUCACACAAGGCAAAGUCAACAUUAUUGACGACUGAGAUAGCUUAGCGGUCAAGGAGACCCUGAUGAAGAAAGGUCAACACAGGAGAACACCAUUGUUCCACGUAACACGUGCCCAAUCAAAAAUGUGCUGCCAUGAACAAAGAUUUUCUUUUAAGCUGGGAAACUUAACUUCACAUUCUUUUUUUAAGACUUUCAAUCUCACCAAUAGACAAGACACUAGGAGAAAAGACUGCAGCUUCACUUGUGUCAUUUCUAGAAAAAUGAGCUAUCGCUAAGGAAUUGCAUUAGUGAAUUUAAAUGGUUUCACGCAGUUGAAUUAUUUAGACAUUUCUUUUCCUGUCCUGUGAUUCUCUCUUUCAUCUAUCUGAACACUUGCCACCUGCUAAUGCUCAUAUCUGUAUAACUCCGAAGGCUUCUUUUCUCUUCCUUUAUUCCAAAAAAUACAACAAACCCUUGGAGAUCGAGCCUACUCCAUAGGUGCCCUAACUUACCUGGGUCCUUACUUCCAUUUUUUCAGUCAGUUCUUGCCAACUUUCUUGUAAAUCCCACACAGCAAUCAUCUUUUAUGCCUGAACUAUCUCCUGAACCCCAAAGGCACAUUUUUCUGCUACCUACUAAACUCUUCUACUUGGUUUCCCAGGAGAAAUUUUUCUUAUAUGUGUCAAGUCACAAACGAAAUGGAAACAAUGGUUUUCUUUUCUUUUCUUUUCUUUUCUUCUUCUGCUCUUCCUUCUCAUUCUAUAACUAAGAGGUGAGCUUUGUAGGACUGGAACUCCAGAAUCAUGCUGACCCCUUUUCUUCCUCUCUGCUCUCAUAUUCUAGUUACUUUCCAAUUCCUAAAGGGUUUCUGCCAAAUGUCCUGGAUACCCAUUCUCUCCACUGAUAUUCAUUUCCUUUCGAAUGUUGGACUAAACCAUCCUUCUCAGCUUCUAUUGCAUCUCAUGGGUCCUGCUAUCUCUCUAGGUCCCUAAACCUUUAUGUGAUUUCCAUCUGGGCAGAGAUUCCUUGACAAGUUCUAAUGAUGCUAUUUUCUGCUUAAAAAAUUAAAAAUUUCAGUGUGUUCUCAUAGCCAAGUCCAAGAUCCUGAUUCUGGCAUUCAAUGAUUUCUAGGAUUUUCCCUCCAAAAUAGCCUUUUUCCUUACCCUCCUGUGACAUAAACAAAGUGGACUAUAGGCAGGUGCCUAAUCUCCCACCCUCAACGACUUUCCCAUCAAUGUUCCACAGUUGAUGCUUUAUCUUUACCAGAUGUGUCCUCUCUCCCCUUCCUCCUUCCUUCAUAACAAACUGAGGUCUUACCCAGCCUUUAAAAAUGCCUCAUUUACUACAAUGAAGUACAACCUCAUACGGGUCAGAAUGGCCAUCAUUAAUAAGCCUACAAAUUACAGACACUAGACAGGAUAUGGAGAAAAGGGAACCCUCCUGCACUGCUGGUGGGAAUGUAAAUUGGUACAUCCACUUUGGAAAACAGUACGUAAGUUCCUGAGAAAACUAAAUAUAGAACUAAAUAUGAUACACCAAUCCCACUCCUGGGCACAUAUCCAGACAAAAGUACAAUUCAAAAAGAUACAUGCACCUGUAUGUUCAGAGCAGCACUAAUCACAAUAGCCAAGACAUGGAACCAACCCAAAUGUCCAACAAGAGAUGAAUGGAUUAAGAAGAUGUGGUACAUAUACACAGUGGAAUACUGCUCAGCCAUAAAAAUGAGUGAAAUAAUGCCAUUUGCAGCAACAUGAAUGUAACCAGAGAUUCUCAUACUAAGUAAGUCAGAAAGAGAAAGACAGAUACCAUAUGAUAUCACUUAUAUAUGGAAUCUAAAUGAACCUAUACAUAAAACAGAAACAGCCUCACAGACAUAGAGAACAAACGUGUGGUUGCCAAGGUGGAAGCCAGGAGAGACUGGGAGUGUGGGGUUAGUAGAUGCAAGCUAUUACAUUUAGAAUGGAUAAGCAAUGAGGUCCUACUGUAUAGCACAGAGAACUAUAUCCAAUUUCUUGGGACUGACCAUGAUGGAAGAUAAUACAUAUAAAUGAAUAGCUGGGUCACUUUUCUGUAUAGCAGAAAUUGGCAUAACAUUGUGAAUCAACUACUUUAAUAAAAAUAAAUGGGUAGAUUUUCACCCUCCUUUGAAAUUCAUUAUUCCAUUAAUGGCACUUUUGCUGUGAUACAUCCUCAUUCGAACAAAUAUUUACUUCAUACAAAUUUCUGUGCUUUUAUUCCUGGUAUUGUGCUUGUAUUGUAUGUACUGUGUUGUACUUGUACUGGCCUUCUCUCAGCUCUUUGAAGGUUUAUACUAGAUUUUACUCAUCUUUUAAUGUGAAAUUAUAGCCUAUAUCAUAGUGGAUGUUGCACUAUGUUGUUGUAGGUCUUGCCUCUCAGAGACGGUUUUUAUCUUGACAUCCCUCCCGACGGCAUGGUGCUUACCUUGACCACCGCGUCCAACCAUCGCUUUCAUUGCAAUUACACACGUUCCUUCUAUAAAAUACUUCACUCCAGGCUGACACCAUAUUUGGAGUCCCACAGAUCUGCAUCCAUCUGGAAUCAUGCGUAGUGCCAUCUGUACCUUUCCUUUAAAGUCCUGCUGGCUGUAAAAGAUGUGAAACCUAAUAACGGGUUAAUAUGUUAACUUCUCCAAAAGUAAAACUGUUGGUGUUCAACAGAACUUUGAGAAGAUAAGGAGUGACUUUCCUCCAGAGAAUUUCUGACUGAGUGGCAUGCUGAUAUGGGUGAUAUUUUUGGUCUGGUACAAUUUUCAAUCCCCACAAAUCACAUCUUACAAGUGGCUGACAAGUUUAUCUAUGUCUGGGAGAGGACACGGACCCCUCAUCUAAACAGGCACCCAUGCACUCACUCACACAUGUACCACGGCCCUCAGAUCACGUGACAGCGAGAUUCCCAGGACAAUGGAAACAAGGGCUACAGGGCUCACCUGCCUUCAGUUCCACAGGGAGCUGACAAGGGCUCAGCAACUGCAGGGGUCUCCAUCACACAAGAUAUUUUUUUUUUCAAUCCAAAUCAUAUCUUCAAUUUUGUCCUGUUAGGGGUUAGUAGAUGCAAAGUAUUACAUGUAGAAUGGAUACGAAAUGAGGUCCUACUCUAGGACCUCCACCCCCCAAUACAAAUGAAGAGACAGAGUUCCUGUUGUGGAUCAGCAGUUAACGAACCCAACUAGUAUCCAUGAGGACACGGGUUCGAUCCCUGGCCCUGCUCAGUGGGUUAAGGAUCCGGCAUUGCUGUGAGCUUUGGUGUAGGUCGCAGAUGCAGCUCAGACCCUGCAUUGCUGUGGCUGUGGCAUAGGCUGGCAGCUGUACUUCCAAUUCGACCCCUAGCCUGGGAACCUCCACAGGCUGCAGGUGUGGCCCUAAAAAG
Molecule: long non-coding RNA, 3786 nt
Filed under: Sus scrofa (pig)
Lineage: Eukaryota; Metazoa; Chordata; Mammalia; Artiodactyla; Suidae
Description: lncRNA (ENSSSCG00000058208.1)
Source: RNAcentral